RNAcentral lists this ribosomal RNA (866 nucleotides) under Chloroflexi bacterium SCGC AAA240-P09. RNAcentral's name for it is "SSU rRNA". It matches the Rfam family "Bacterial small subunit ribosomal RNA", at positions 28 to 895 of the family's 1533-position model. The record is from RNAcentral. Lineage: Bacteria; Bacillati; Chloroflexota.
GAUGACGCUGGCGGUGCGCCUAAUGCAUGCAAGUCGAACGAGCCAAUCAGUUUCGGCUGUGCGGAAAGUGGCAGACUGCUGAGUAACACGUAAGUGACCUACCCCGAAGAGGGGGAUAAACCUGAGAAAUCGGGUCUAAUACCGCGUACGUCCCAACGGUUACGGCUGUUGGGGGAAAGGUUUUCACCUAUGGUGGAUUCCGCUUCGGGAGGGGCUUGCGGCCUAUCAGGUUGUUGGUAGGGUAAUGGCCUACCAAGCCUAAGACGGGUAACCGAUGUGAGAGCAUGACCGGUCAGAGGGGGACUGAGACACGGCCCCCACUCCUACGGGAGGCAGCAGCAGGGAAUCUUGCGCAAUGGGCUAAUAGGCCUGACGCAGCGACACCGCGUGGGGGAUGAAGGCUUUAGGGUCGUAAACCCCUUUUCUCGGGGAAGAGAGAGGACGGUACCCGAGGAAUAAGCUUCGGCUAACUACGUGCCAGCAGCCGCGGUAAUACGUAGGAAGCGAGCGUUAUCCGAAUUUACUGGGCGUAAAGGGCGAGUAGGCGGCUCAUCAAGUCUCAUGUGAAAUCUCCCGGCUCAACUGGGAGGGGUCAUGGGAAACUGGUGGGAUUGAGGGCAGUAGAGGAAAGUGGAAUUCCCGGAGUAGCGGUGAUAUGCGUAGAUACCGGGAGGAACACCAGAGGCGAAGGCGACUUUCUGGGCUGCACCUGACGCUGAGGCGCGAAAGCAUGGGGAGCGAACCGGAUUAGAUACCCGGGUAGUCCAUGCCCUAAACGAUGGAUACUAGAUGUGGGGGGUAUCGCCCCCCCCCGUGCCGUAGCUAACGCGAUAAGUAUCCCGCCUGGGGAGUACGGCCGCAAGGCC